RNAcentral lists this ribosomal RNA (253 nucleotides) under uncultured bacterium. RNAcentral describes it as "partial 16S ribosomal RNA". It matches the Rfam family "Bacterial small subunit ribosomal RNA", at positions 524 to 776 of the family's 1533-position model. The record is from RNAcentral.
UACGUAGGGCGCAAGCGUUGUCCGGAAUUAUUGGGCGUAAAGAGCUCGUAGGCGGUUUGUCGCGCCUGCUGUGAAAACCUAAGGCUCAACCUUGGGCUUGCAGUGGGUACGGGCAGACUAGAGUGCGGUAGGGGUGACUGGAAUUCCUGGUGUAGCGGUGAAAUGCGCAGAUAUCAGGAGGAACACCGGUGGCGAAGGCGGGUCUCUGGGCCGAUACUGACGCUGAGGAGCGAAAGCGUGGGGAGCAAACAGG